Molecule: long non-coding RNA, 645 nt
Organism: Cyanistes caeruleus (blue tit)
Lineage: Eukaryota; Metazoa; Chordata; Aves; Passeriformes; Paridae
Source: RefSeq, a predicted model, not a curated record
CCUGGAGCUGCAGGGGUUGGUGCGAGCCAAGGGCAGCACCCAGGACCUGGCCUUGUUGACCCUCAGACCACUGGCCUGGGCCCAUGGAUCCAGCCUGUCCAGAUCCCUCUGCAGAGCCUUCGUGCUCCCAGCAGAUCCACACUCACACCUAGCUGGGUGCUGUCCAUGAAAUGACUGGGCAUGCCCUCGAUCCCCUUGUCCAGAUCAUCAGUAAAGAUAUUAAACAGGACUGGCCCCAGUGCUGAGCCCUGGGGACUCCAUUGGUACCUGGCCACACCUGGAUGUGGCUCCAGUCCCCACCAGUCCCUGGGCCCAUCCAGCCGGUUUUAUACCCAGUGAAGCAGGGCCAUGAGCAGCCGGUGUCCCCAGGAGAAUGUGUGGGAGACAUUGUCAAAGGCUUUCUAAAGUCUGGGGAAACACAUCCACAGCCCUACCUUCAUCCACUGAGGGGGUCGCCCUGUCACAGAAGGAGCUGGGUGGGUCAAGCAAGAGCUGUCUGUCACAGACCCACGUUGUCUGGGGCUGAUUCCCUGGUUGUCCUGCAUGUGAUGACACUUAGCUCUUGGGUAGAUCCAAUCCAGCCCCGCAGACUUUGGGAGACACAUGGCAUAUGAAGUACCGGUAUGUGCUUUUUUAAACAAGAGG